CAGCCGCCGCGGGAAUACAGAGGGUGCGAGCGUUAAUCGGAUUUACUGGGCGUAAAGCGUGCGUAGGCGGCUUUUUAAGUCGGAUGUGAAAUCCCUGAGCUUAACUUAGGAAUUGCAUUCGAUACUGGGAAGCUAGAGUAUGGGAGAGGAUGGUAGAAUUCCAGGUGUAGCGGUGAAAUGCGUAGAGAUCUGGAGGAAUACCGAUGGCGAAGGCAGCCAUCUGGCCUAAUACUGACGCUGAGGUACGAAAGCAUGGGGAGCAAACAGGAUUAGAGACCCCAGUAGUCCCUGUCUCUUAUAC
Molecule: ribosomal RNA, 301 nt
Filed under: uncultured bacterium
Lineage: Bacteria
Description: partial 16S ribosomal RNA
Rfam family: Bacterial small subunit ribosomal RNA
Source: RNAcentral